UGAGGAAUAUUGGUCAAUGGACGAAAGUCUGAACCAGCCAAGUAGCGUGAAGGAUGACUGCCCUAUGGGUUGUAAACUUCUUUUGCCGUAGAACAAAACAUGCCACGUGUGGCAUUUUGCGUGUAUACGUUGAAUAAGCAUCGGCUAACUCCGUGCCAGCAGCCGCGGUAAUACGGAGGAUGCGAGCGUUAUCCGGAUUUAUUGGGUUUAAAGGGAGCGUAGGUGGUUUGAUAAGCCAGUUGUGAAAUACUGCCGCUCAACGGCAGCCGUGCAGUUGGAACUGUCAGACUUGAGUGUACGGGAGGAAAGUGGAAUUCGUGGUGUAGCGGUGAAAUGUUUAGAUAUCACGAAGAACUCCAAUUGCGUAGGCAGCUUUCUACAGUACAACUGACACUGAUGCUCGAAAGUGCGGGUAUCGAACAGG
This 424-nucleotide ribosomal RNA is filed under the name uncultured prokaryote. Its description in RNAcentral is "bacterial SSU rRNA". It matches the Rfam family "Bacterial small subunit ribosomal RNA", at positions 355 to 776 of the family's 1533-position model. The record is from RNAcentral. RNAcentral also lists the same sequence under 1 other name.